AUGCGCCCGCACGCCACGGGCGUCGAGAAGGCGACCGUGCCGUACGGCUCCUGGGAUUCGCCUAUCAGCGCCGCCGCCGUCUCCUCCGCCGGGAAGACCGUCGAGGGGCUCGCCGUCGCCGGCGACGGCCGGCUCCUCUGGGUCGAGACGCGCCCCGAGGAAGGAGGACGCGCGGUUCUCGUGAAGGAAGGGGCGGGCGCAGACGGCAGAGGUUCGGAUGUGACGCCGCAGGAGUUCGCCGUGCGGUCCCUGGCGCAGGAGUACGGCGGUGGCGCGUUCGCCGUGCAGGGGGAUGUCGUCGUGUUCUCCAAUUACAGCGACCAGCGCCUGUACAAGCAAACCGUCGGAGAUAAUUCACCACUACCUCUGACACCGGAUUAUGGUGGAUCGGUUGUCCGCUAUGCGGACGGUGUCUUUGACCCUCACUUCAAUCGUUAUGUCACUGUAAUGGAAGAUCACCGCAAGAGUGGCUCAAAUCCCAUCACAACAGUUGCUGCUGUGAGCACAAGUGUUGAAGAUGUUAAUGAACCAACUGUGCUGCUCAGUGGGAAUGACUUCUAUGCCUUUCCACGCAUUGAUCCAACUGAAAAACGCAUGGCAUGGAUUGAAUGGAGUGACCCAAACAUGUCAUGGGAUAAAGCAGAACUAUGGGUUGGAUAUUUCUCCAGCAAAGGAGAGGUGGAAAAACGUAUUUGCAUUGCUGGUGGAGACCCAAUGAUAGUAGAAUCUCCUACUGAACCCAAGUGGUCUUCAAAAGGUGAACUGUUCUUCAUAACUGACCGACAGAGUGGAUUUUGGAAUAUUUAUAAAUGGGAUGAGCAGAGCAAUGUGGUCGUGCAAGUGUACUCACUUGAUGCUGAAUUCUCGAAGCCAAUGUGGGUUUUUGGUGUCAGCUCCUAUGCUUUCCUCGGAAAUGACGACCAGAGUCAGAAAAUAGUUUGCUGCUACAGGCAGAAUGGGAAGUCAUAUGUUGGGUUGCUGGACCAUGAUUCAGGGUCAUUUUCAAAAAUUGACCUUCCCUUCUCUGCUGUAACUAACAUAGUUUCUGCAGAUGGAUCUUUCUAUGUUGAAGGUGCAUCUGCUAGUCUUCCAGUAUCGAUAGCAAAGGUGACACUAGAUGAAAAGAGAACAAUGGCAACUGACUUUUCUAUAGUUUGGUCCUCCUCAGAGGACAUAAAGAAAUAUACACCCUACUUUAGUUUGCCUGAAUUUAUGGAGUUCCCAACCGUAAUCCCUGGCCAGCAUGCUUAUGCUUAUUUCUAUCCUCCAUACAACCAUACUUUCCAAGGUUCAUCAGAUGAGAAGCCUCCGUUAUUGGUCAGAACCCAUGGUGGACCUACAGAUGAAGCACGUGGGAUUCUUGAUCUUAGUGUGCAAUACUGGACGAGCCGAGGAUGGGCAUUCGUUGAUGUUAACUAUGGGGGAAGUGCAGGCUAUGGGAGGGAGUAUCGAGAGAGGCUUUUAGGGCAAUGGGGUGUUGUGGAUGUAAAUGAUUGCUGCAGCUGUGCUACAUUUCUGGUGGCAACUGGAAGAGUAGACGCGCAACGACUCUGUGUAACAGGGGAAUCUGCUGGUGGAUUCACAACUUUAGCUUGCCUUGCUUUUAGACAGACGUUCAAGGCUGGUUCUUCUUUAUACGGGAUUGCUGACUUAGCUUCAUUAAGGGCAGGCAUGCACAAGUUUGAGGCGUACUAUAUUGACAACCUUGUGGGGAAUAAGCAGGCUUACUUUGAGAGGUCGCCAAUAAACUUCGUUGAGAGAUUUACAUGUCCGGUCAUUUUGUUUCAAGGAUUGGAUGACCCGGUUGUAUCACCAGAUCAGGCAACAACGAUAUACAAGGCUAUAAAGGACAAAGGUCUGCCUGUUGCUUUGGUUGAGUAUGAAGGGGAACAACAUGGUUUCCGCAAGGCUGAGAACAUCAAGUUUACCUUGGAGCAGCAGAUGAUGUUCUUCGCAAGAUUGGUGGGGCACUUCAAGGUGGCAGAUAACAUUGCUCCAAUCAAGAUAGACAAUUUUGAUAAAGCCUUGUGA
RNAcentral lists this ribosomal RNA (2031 nucleotides) under Triticum aestivum (bread wheat). RNAcentral describes it as "partial small subunit ribosomal RNA". The record is from RNAcentral. Lineage: Eukaryota; Viridiplantae; Streptophyta; Magnoliopsida; Poales; Poaceae.